This is a long non-coding RNA of Paramormyrops kingsleyae, 732 nucleotides long. RefSeq lists it as uncharacterized. The record is from RefSeq and is a predicted model, not a curated record. Lineage: Eukaryota; Metazoa; Chordata; Actinopteri; Osteoglossiformes; Mormyridae.
UCCAUCAGAAUGCCCGCUUUGGCCAGUGAGCCCCCCAGAGCCAUUUUCAGAGACUCCACGGAUCCCUUAAUGAAGCCACACAAAGACACGCAUCACAGCUGGAUAACGUCAGACCGACGCAGGUCACGCAGGACCCUGUCACUGUCUGCCGAUUGGCAGUAAAAGGCACACAGGCAUGGAGAAGCAGAGGUGAAGAGCAGAGAAGGCAGGAAACACCAUCUACCCCACAGUGACGCCAACCAGACGAUGGGACCCAGGAGAGUCCAACGGAGCAAAUGUAACAGAAGCAUUGUCUGAGAAGGCUGCCCUUCAACCAUAAAUAUCAGCUGGAAUGCAGCUAAAGAUGCUCAAAUCAACCGGAGUAUAUAGUUACACACAAAAAAAUAAGGCACUGGUUCCAGAAACUGUGUUUCCUGUCCAGCUGCAUAGCAAACACAAUUAUUUGAAGCAUUUUGGGGAAAGAGCCACAGGAGAGAUGAAGGCCUCAAGACUGAAAGGCUGAUGGGCACACUGCUUCUGCCGACGUAAGCAGGCAGGUCGUGGGUCUGCAGCUCUGAUGGACGCCCUUUCACUCCUUUCACUACAGUAUCUGCACCUGAUCUGAGUCAUCAGCAAACAUGCAUCUGAAGCUGAUUUUCAUUAAGGCCCUAAUAAAUUAAAUCAAAAAUCAUUAUUGAAUGCACUGCUUGAAAAUCCUCUAUAUGAUUAUCAAUAUUAAAGCAUUUUGUUUUA